AUUUUGAUAACAUAUUGUAACUAGUUUUGAAAUAUCAGUCAUAAUAUCUCUCUUGAAUUUUAGUCAGCAGUGUCCUAGUCUUUCUCGGUGCCCCUAAUUCUCUCUCUCAGAGUCCAGUCCAUCGAUGGCUUCGCAAAUGGCGAUCUCUUCCGCAUGUGUUCCGUUCUCUUCCCCAAUCUCUCUUCCCUCAUCAAACCAUAUCCACUUUCCGUACUCCAAUAGGAGCCUCAGCUUGCGAAUCCCGCUCCUCUCCCUCCCAAUCCCGCCUCCGGCAGCCCUCUCUACCACCAAAACUGGCGCUUCUCUUCCUCUCUUUAUUUCUUUCUCCUUUGAAACCCUCCCUUCCUGAGUGAUCGGUUUUUCACAGCCACAAGUAUAUCCUUUCCAACCUACUCCAGCACCGGUGCCAACACCCCUGGCUGGUUGGAUGUCAAAUCCAACAACUGUUGCACAUCCUACAGUCUCCGGUGGAGCUAUAGGUCUUGGUGCACCGUCAAUCCCAGGCCUUUAAAGUGUGGGAUCUUUGUGCUUGUUCAAUGCCCUUUCAGGUUGCCUUUCUCACCUUAUUUGUUGAUUACCAAAUCCUCAGAACUAUUGAGUUUGCAAUGAUUGAAAACAAAAAUAAUGAUAAUCGAUUCAGGCUGCUCUUGUCAAAGAUCGAGGUGUUUCUGUCAAUCGUGUGAUUUGGAGUCCUGAUGGGGCUUUAUUUGGAGUUGCUUACUUAAGGCACAUUGUUCAGAUAUACUCUUACCAUGGCAGGGAUGAAAUCUGACAGCAUUUGCAGGUUUGGGAUGCUGCUUCUGGAGCAAAACAGUAUACCUUUGAAGGUCAUGAGGCUCUACUUUAUUCUGUCUGUCCACAUUAUAAAGAAAACAUUCAGAUUCUGUGGAGACUUUGAUGUCAGAAACCCAUGAAUUGGGAGGUUCUGCGGUGGUGGUUGAUCGAGCAACACCUAAGGCAAGAGUUUUUAUUUUUUGUAACCUGUCAUUUUAUACAAGUUAUCCACAAUAUAGAGAAAUUGUGAGGAUGAUCUCGUCUAGUGUUUGGUCGUGGAGGUGAAGGAGAUGUUGGUCGAAGGAUUCGGGAUGAAAUACUUGUUAUUCAGAGAAAGAAUAAUUGCAAAGAUGGAAUGAUGGAGGAAUGACACCAAAAAUUACACAAUAAUACUAGACCUGAUGAUGUUGUGAUCUGUCAGAUAUUUGAUGACACGUCUUUAAUGGAGCAACAUGUCAUAAAGGAUGUUCGGGAGCAGUGACCUCUAUUUUGUUUAACCAUUUGUAAAUGAUUAGAUGUUUCAGUAUUACAUUUUGAGUUUAGGAACUAUUUUAUGUGUAAAUCACUAGUAAAAAAUAAAGUUUUUAAAUCGCCCAUUAUGCCUUAGUUUUCGAAAAUCUGAGACAUAUAAAAAUGCGGUGGCAGAAUUGUGAUUUUAUAGGCACUAUAUGCCUCGGUUCUUCUAAACCCGCUGUCUAAAAGCGUAUACGGCCUCGG
This is a long non-coding RNA of Vigna radiata var. radiata (mung bean), 1491 nucleotides long. RefSeq lists it as uncharacterized. The transcript is spliced from 8 exons. NCBI's taxonomy places the organism in Eukaryota, Viridiplantae, Streptophyta, Magnoliopsida, Fabales, Fabaceae. The record is from RefSeq and is a predicted model, not a curated record.